Molecule: ribosomal RNA, 1377 nt
Filed under: Triticum aestivum (bread wheat)
Lineage: Eukaryota; Viridiplantae; Streptophyta; Magnoliopsida; Poales; Poaceae
Description: partial small subunit ribosomal RNA
Source: RNAcentral
AUGGGGCACGGGCUCAGCUGUAGCCGCGACGGCGACGAGCACGACUUCUUCCGCGCCGCGCAGGCCGGCGACGUAGACGCCCUCGACGGCCUCCUCGCCGCCGACCCGGCGCUCGUCCGCCGCGCCACCAUCUACGACCGCCUCACCGCGCUCCACGUCUCCGCUGCCAACGGCUGCCUCCCGGCCGUCGACAUGCUGCUCGCCCGCGGCGUCCGCCCGGACGUCGUCGACCGCCGCAAGCGCACCCCGCUCAUGCUCGCCGCCACCCACGGCCACAUCGACUGCGCCCUCGCCCUCCUCCGCGCCGGCGCCAAUAUUCUGAUGUUCGACUCGGUGAACGCGCGGACGUGCCUCCACCACGCGGCCUACUACGGCCACGCCGACUGCCUGCGGGCCAUCCUCACCGCGGCGCGCACCACGCCGGUGGCCGACUCGUGGGGCUUCGUGCGCUUCGUCAACGUCCGGGACGAGCACGGCGCCACGCCGCUGCACGUGGCCGCCAGGCAGGGCCGGCCGGAGUGCGUGCACCUGCUGCUCGAGAGCGGCGCCAUCGUCUCGGCCCCCACCGGCUCCUACGGCUUCCCGGGGAGCACGGCGCUGCAUCUUGCGGCGCGCGGCGGCAGCCUGGAGUGCGUCCGGGAGCUGCUGGCGUGGGGCGCCGACCGCGUGCACCGGGACUCGGCGGGCCGGAUCGCCUACUCGGUGGCGAUGAAGCGCGGCCACGGCGCGUGCGCGGCGCUGCUGAACCCGGCGGCUGCGGAGCCCAUGGUGUGGCCGUCGCCGCUCAAGUUCAUCGGCGAGCUGGGGGCGGACGCGAGGGCGCUCCUCGAGGCGGCGCUGGCCGAGGCCAACCGGGAGCGGGAGAAGAAGAUCCUCAAGGGAACCAAGUACUCGGACUCUUCCUCGCCGGCGCUCUCCGACGCCGGCGCCGGCGACGACGACGAGGUCGACGACCAGGAGGACGAGGAGGUGUGCAGCAUCUGCUUCGAGCAGGCGUGCAGCAUCCAGGUGGAGGACUGCGGGCACCGGAUGUGCGCCGCCUGCACGCUCGCGCUCUGCUGCCACAGCAAGCCCAACCCGGCCACGCUGACUCUCCAGCCGCCGGCGUGCCCCUUCUGCCGCAGCUGCAUCUCCCGCCUCGUCGUCGCCGACUCCAAGGCCAAGGCGGUCGCGGUCGCGGGCGCCGGCGACGAGGCCGAAGAGAAGCCUCGGCUGAGCCGGAGGCGGUCGCGGAGGUCCCGCGAGGGGAGCAGCAGCUUCAAGGGGCUCUCGUCGGCCAUGGGGUCGCUGUCGAGCAAGAUCGGCCGCGGCUCCGGCAGGCUGGCCGGCGACGGCGACGGCGCGUUCCUGGACAAGCUGGAGCACGACCUCCCGUGA